UACGUAGGGCGCAAGCGUUGUCCGGAAUCAUUGGGCGUAAAGAGCUCGUAAGUGGUCUGUUACGUCUGCUGUGAAAUCCUAGGGCUUAACCCUGGGCCUGCAGUGGAUACGGGCAGACUAGAGGUAGGUAGGGGAGAAUGGAAUUCCCGGUGUAGCGGUGAAAUGCGCAGAUAUCGGGAGGAACACCGGUGGCGAAGGCGGUUCUCUGGGCCUUACCUGACACUGAGGAGCGAAAGCGUGGGGAGCGAACAGG
Molecule: ribosomal RNA, 253 nt
Filed under: uncultured bacterium
Lineage: Bacteria
Description: partial 16S ribosomal RNA
Rfam family: Bacterial small subunit ribosomal RNA
Source: RNAcentral